This is a long non-coding RNA of Salvelinus fontinalis (brook trout), 1156 nucleotides long. RefSeq lists it as uncharacterized. NCBI's taxonomy places the organism in Eukaryota, Metazoa, Chordata, Actinopteri, Salmoniformes, Salmonidae. The record is from RefSeq and is a predicted model, not a curated record. The transcript is spliced from 2 exons.
UGGCUGAUACUGACCUCUCGCUCUCGUCCGCAGCCUUCUCGGCCUCCUCCAGUUUCUGCAGCGCAGUGGCCAGCCUCUCCUGCGCCCGGUCAAACUCCUCCUCCACCAGCUGGAUCCUGCGGUUCAGACCCGCCACAUCACCCUCCGCCUGGGAGAAGAGAGGGGGAUGAGGUCAAAGGUGGCAACACGCAUCUCUGCGUGCUUGGUAGAUAUAUCAGCUUAGAUGUCGGCCCACCACCUCAAGCUCAACCUUGACAAAAAGGUGCUGCUCUUCAUUCCGGAGAAGACCUCUCCAUCCAGAUUGACAACUCCACAAGCUCCCCCUUGCAGAAUGCAGAGAACCUUGGCGUAACCAUGGACAACACCCUGUCGUUCUCUACAAACAUCAAAACAGUGACUCGCUCAUGUAGGUUCAUGCUCUACAGCAUCCGUAGAGUAAGAUCCUAGCUCACACAGGAAGUGGCGCAGGUCGUAAUCCAAGCACUUGUCAUCUCCCGCCUGGGCUACUGCAACUUGCUGUUGGCUGGGCUCCCCGCUUGUUCCAUUAAACCCCUGCAACUUAUCCAGAACGCUACUGCCCACCGGGUGUUCAACCUUCCCAAGUUCACCCAUGUCAACCGCUUCUCCGCACACUGCAAAAAUGCCUUUUGUGAACUAACAUUCGAUCUUGACUUUUUUCCCCUCCCCUUACUACCUUUGACUUUGCUGAUAGCUACUUUAUUGAGGAAAAAUGGACUUACUAUGACUGUGGUGUGGUUGUCCCACCUAGUUAUCUUAAGAUGUAUUCACUAACGAACUGUAAGUUGCUCUAGAUAGGAGUGUCUGCUAAAUGACUCAUAAUAAAUGUAAAUGCUAAUGUAAUGGAAGCCAUCAUAUGGAGGUUAAAGAUAUCCUCAAUCACCUAUAACCAUGUGUGAGGAUCCAAUGACAGGGGAAUACACAAAGAGCCCAUAUCCUCUUCAUGAUCCAUUUCCUAUAGUAAAAUGACCAAAUCGCCCUCUAGUGGCCUCAUGGGUGGAAUGUUAUUAAUAUUUUUCUGAAAGUCCGGUGUUUCUAUGUCAAAUGGUUUUGUUAUAUUUCAGUCUUCUGUGAAGUAUAUACAGUGUAAUUUUGGGAUGUAAACUCAAAAUGUAAUACAUUUCAACUCUAUAUCUGA